RNAcentral lists this ribosomal RNA (254 nucleotides) under uncultured Peptostreptococcus sp. RNAcentral describes it as "partial 16S ribosomal RNA". It matches the Rfam family "Bacterial small subunit ribosomal RNA", at positions 100 to 354 of the family's 1533-position model. Lineage: Bacteria; Bacillati; Bacillota; Clostridia; Peptostreptococcales; Peptostreptococcaceae. The record is from RNAcentral.
CCGGGGUGAGUAACGCGUGGGUAACCUGCCCUAUACACAUGGAUAACAUACUGAAAGUUUACUAAUACAUGAUAAUAUAUAUUUACGGCAUCGUAGAUAUAUCAAAGUGUUAGCGGUAUAGGAUGGACCCGCGUCUGAUUAGCUAGUUGGUGAGAUAACUGCCCACCAAGGCGACGAUCAGUAGCCGACCUGAGAGGGUGAUCGGCCACAUUGGAACUGAGACACGGUCCAAACUCCUACGGGAGGCAGCAGAC